This 539-nucleotide long non-coding RNA is filed under the name Apteryx rowi (Okarito brown kiwi). Its description in RNAcentral is "lncRNA (ENSARWG00000000366.1)". The record is from RNAcentral. Lineage: Eukaryota; Metazoa; Chordata; Aves; Apterygiformes; Apterygidae.
CAACCCCCCCCCCCCCCCCCCCCCGCCUGAUCGUGCAUUUCGAAAGGGAAGAACCCAGCCAGCGCUUGGCUUUCGCUAGCCCAGGCGGCGCAGCGCCCUUUGCAGCCUCCCCCCCGAGUCCGGGUCGAUUUCGCUAGGAUUUUUCGGGUUUGCAGUCCUGGAAAAACACAAGGCUGGGCUUGACUUUUUGGACAGCACGCAGGAAAUGAGUCACAGCAGCCCAGUCCGCGACCCGAUGGAGCACCGACACCUUCUCGGAGAAGAGCCUGGAGGAUGGAGUUUGCUGCUGCGUUUGCCUGCUUUGGAGCCCCCGGACAUCCCUGGGUGUGAUCGGCUACUCCGGGUUAUCGCUGGUAGCAGCUGGGCCCUUGCGUCUCUGGCGAUUACAGGGAGCUUCUUUCGGGCUGUGCGAGGGCAUGGGAUGGGAAGCUGGAUUCUUGCAGCCUGUGCUUGACCUACAUUAAGAACAAGAUUCAGCAUCAGCCUGUACUGUUUCGUCUGUAUUUCAAGAUGUGCAAUAAACAUGGGGUUAAUCAGCA